This 271-nucleotide ribosomal RNA is filed under the name uncultured bacterium. Its description in RNAcentral is "partial 16S ribosomal RNA". It matches the Rfam family "Bacterial small subunit ribosomal RNA", at positions 524 to 794 of the family's 1533-position model. The record is from RNAcentral.
GACGAAGGUGGCUAGCGUUGUUCGGAAUCACUGGGCAUAAAGCGCGCGUAGGCGGCUACGUAAGUCGGGUGUGAAAUCCCUCGGCCCAACCGAGGAACUGCGCCCGAUACUGCAUGGCUUGAGGAUCAGAGGGGUGCAUGGAAUUUCCGGUGGAGCGGUGAAAUGCGUUGAUAUCGGAAGGAACGUCGGCGGCGAAAGCGGUGCACUGGCUGAUCUCUGACGCUGAUGCGCGAAAGCCAGGGGAGCAAACGGGAUUAGAAACCCGUGUAGU